UCUCUCUCAAUUUUCUUCAUCAUUCUUCAUUGAUGAUCAUAUACAAAGCUUCAUAGAUCAUUUCUAUACCAUAAGCUUCCAUUCAAACGAGCUCUAAACAUCUAUACACUUCAAAUCAAGAGCAACUAUGGAAUGUUUUUAAAGCUUGAAGUCAAGAGGAUACUUUCAUUUUCUACUCAAAAAUCAUUGAGUAAGUGUUAGAGUUAUUUAAAUCUAAUCAUAUUUGAGUUAUAUAAGCAUGUAUAUGGAUGAAAAUAGCAUGAAAACCCACUUAUUUCUCUUUUCAUUUUUUUCGAGAAUUAGGGCUCAUACCCUUCAAAAAAAAAAUUCAUCAUCUAAUCUUAAAUUGAGAUUAUAUUCAUGCUAUUGAGAUCUUAUUUAGUCCAUUUCUACAUGUAAAGAAUGGAUUUAGAUUGAUAUGUGAAUUUUUGGAUGAGUUAGUUUAUAUGAUUUUGGAAAGUUUGGAGUUCAUGGAGUGAGUGAUGAUUUGAUUAUGAUUAUGAGUUUAUGAGAGUGUUGGUAUGAUAUUUGAUGGAUUAGAAUAAUGAUUAAAGGUGUUUGAUGAGUUAAUUUGAAAACCUUUUAAAGGCUACUGACCUACUGACUUUCGACGGGGUUUUUGAUACCCAAAAAUCUUGAAAAUUUUAUGGUGAGUAUAUAAGUGUUAUGAUGAACGUACUUGUAAAAUUUCAAGUCAUUUGGACAUCGUUUACUACCCUUUUAAAAUGGAAAACACCAACUGCAACUUUCUACCGAAAAUUUCGAAGAACAGACCUUAGAGUCACCCUUCUCAGUAGCUACCCCUGACGUUUUUCCUUUCCAAUUUUAUGGUAAAGAUAUUAAUGUGUUAUCUAGCUACCCACAAAAUUUCAAGUCAUUUCGGCAAUGUUUACUAUUUUUCAAAAAUCAAAACCUCCGGUUGCACAAAACUGCCGAAUAUGGUAGACUGUGGGAGAACGGUCAUAUCUCUUAAUCCACUUGGAGUUUUUCAACCUACUUUUUUUUAAAAUGAAACUAGACUCAAAGAGGUUUCUAAUAGUAUGAGUCUCGAACCCAGGAGAGUUCCGAGGAGAAGCAGUUUAUUCUCUUAAGUUAAGGCAGUGCAGAAAGAGUGAAUUGAAUAAGAUUUUGAUUAUGAGAUGAGAUAUGAAUUAAAGAUGCCUAUAUGUGGCUUAGUGAAGAUGAAUUGAGCUUAUAUAUGAAAAAUGAAAUAAAAUGGCAUAACUUGUUUAUGUGAAUUAAUUUUUGAAUAAUUGGUUUAAGAAUGAUUUAUAAAAUAAAUUUUUGGGAAUUUUCCCCGACUAAAAAUAUUUUACUUUUUUUUUCAAAAAUGAGUUUGUGUAUGUGAUUGCUAUGUGCUUUUGGAUUGUUUAUCUAUGAGUUGUUCCUUGACAGAGUUUAGACCUAAAUUAGGUGAUAAGUUGAGAAUAGAAUAGUGAUUACUUAGAAAGAGUUUUUAUAUGAGAUCGAGAUAGACGGAGUGUAGUGAUGAGGAGAUGAAAUAGUACUAAGAUAGGAAUGGUAUUCUUAGUCAGGAAGUUUCUGACUAAUCUUUUUUAUUCUUAUCAUGAACUACUCCGAUGUGACGGUAUCUGAAGAUAUGAGCAGAGGACGGAAGUGAGUCCACCCCGAGUGCUACGAGAGU
Molecule: long non-coding RNA, 1645 nt
Filed under: Salvia miltiorrhiza (redroot sage)
Lineage: Eukaryota; Viridiplantae; Streptophyta; Magnoliopsida; Lamiales; Lamiaceae
Description: long non-coding RNA (SMIL_LNC006235)
Source: RNAcentral